Bos grunniens (domestic yak) is the source of this 1553-nucleotide long non-coding RNA. NCBI's taxonomy places the organism in Eukaryota, Metazoa, Chordata, Mammalia, Artiodactyla, Bovidae. The record is from Ensembl.
AUGGAGGAGUCCGAUGCUCCCCGCAGGACUCACCUUCCUCCUCAAUUAGAAAUCAGACAGUCUGCCCAUGGUCCACGGACCUCGUCAGGAAAACGCGGGAUUCCAGCGUCUCACCAGAUCAGGGAAAACGGGGAGGAAGCCGACGCGUUUUCCAACAACAAGGACUCGGAAAACCGCGACUGGGGAACGGCAGCCUGUUCCGCGCCGGUAGAACUUGCUCGGAUUUGGAGCCGCCGGGGACCGGUGAAGACGCACGCGAGGCAGGACAGACUGCAGAAGAAAAUUCACAAGAAAGGGAAGAAUUAAGUCUGCAAACACACAGAGAAGAGUGUUGUGAAUCCUGGAAAACUGCAAAUAUUCAUGAGGUUUAAUCAACUUGAGGUAAAAUAAAUCGUCUUUUGAAAUAAAAGGGCAAACAUUACACAUCUGGGGCAAAAUAAUAAAGGGUGAGAAAGCUAAGCUCUUCCUUUUAUCCAUAGUUAGCAACUCCAUCAAAAUUACUGUUUUUCUUCCUGCUAAGCAAACUCAAGGCGCCUGAAAAUUACAUGGUUGGAAAACUAAGUCCAUCUAGGAAUUAGCUAACUUCACUGGUAGCUGUGAAAGGAGAAGCAGAAUUGAGACAGAUUCAUUUAACUGUCAGGCUAUUCAGCCAAUAUUCUUUGCCUUGUUAUUAAGGCUAACAUCCAUAAAUUUUGUCACUUUUGUAAAUGAAAAGAUAUUACUUAAUUGACAGGAAAUUUCUUUUUAAUUAGAAAAGCACCUUUGCUGAAUGGUUUUAAUCACAGGAGAAGCAGCUUCAAAUGGUUAGGUAAGAAACUAGAGGCAUAGUUAAAUCGCCUGGCAAUUUAAUUGAAUUGUUGGCUAAAAUUCUGGAAAAUAUGGCAUUUUCAAACCACAGGUGUGUUGUAUUAUUUUUUAAGAAAUACAAGAAUGUGAUACAUUUCUACAAUGUGUUAAAUCACCAUAAUUUUAGAUUUUUUUUGCUUCCCAUUGUCAGCAAAUUGAAUGAUUAGUUGCUGUAUAGUCUUUAGCCUAGCAAAUUCCAAGGGAAGAACAGAGCCCAUUUUGGCCUUUAUUCAGUAGGUAUUUAAUGUCCUCUUUAAGUGGCCCAUCUUUCUUGUUCUACAUAAUGAUGAUAAAACAAAUUCCUGUUCAUUUCAUCUUUAAUAUAUGUUUAUGACUGUUGGGAAAAUUAAUGACACUUCAGCUAGCAUUUAAUAUGUGUUUAUUUUCUGAGCAAAGCUAUCCAUAUUACGGAUGACAAUUCAUCCAUACGUGCAUGGAAUCAAAUAUCAGGCUUCUUGAAUGUCUUUUAAAUAAAAGACUACAAUUCACAGGGAUAAAAGGCGGCUUGAUUUUUAAGACUCUCUUUGGACCUUACCACACCCUUUCCUUUUCUUUAUCUGCAGUAAAAUAAGAAAAGGAUAGCAUUACCUAGAACUUCCCUGGUUGGCCCGUGGUUAAAAUUCUGCUCUUCCCCUGCAGGGGUGUAGGUUCAGUCCCUGGUCUGGGAACUAAUAUCUCCACAUGCCCCAGGGUACAAAAAAGAGAAA